UGCGCAGGCGGUCUGCUAAGAGAGGUGUGAAAUCCCCGGGCUUAACCUGGGAACUGCGCUUCUAACUGGCAGGCUUGAGUGUGGCAGAGGGGGGUGGAAUUCCACGUGUAGCAGUGAAAUGCGUAGAGAUGUGGAGGAACACCGAUGGCGAAGGCAGCCCCCUGGGCUAACACUGACGCUCAUGCACGAAAGCGUGGGGAGCAAACAGGAUUAGAUACCCUGGUAGUCCACGCCCUAAACUAUGUCAACUGGUUGUCGGGGAAGCAAUUCCUUGGUAACGAAGCUAACGCGUGAAGUUGACCGCCUGGGGAGUACGGCCGCAAGGUUAAA
RNAcentral lists this ribosomal RNA (330 nucleotides) under uncultured bacterium. RNAcentral describes it as "bacterial SSU rRNA". It matches the Rfam family "Bacterial small subunit ribosomal RNA", at positions 568 to 898 of the family's 1533-position model. The record is from RNAcentral.